AGAGUUUGAUCCUGGCUCAGGACGAACGCUGGCGGCGUGCCUAAUACAUGCAAGUCGAACGCUUCUUUUUCCACCGGAGCUUGCUCCACCGGAAAAAGAGGAGUGGCGAACGGGUGAGUAACACGUGGGUAACCUGCCCAUCAGAAGGGGAUAACACUUGGAAACAGGUGCUAAUACCGUAUAACAAUCGAAACCGCAUGGUUUUGAUUUGAAAGGCGCUUUCGGGUGUCGCUGAUGGAUGGACCCGCGGUGCAUUAGCUAGUUGGUGAGGUAACGGCUCACCAAGGCCACGAUGCAUAGCCGACCUGAGAGGGUGAUCGGCCACAUUGGGACUGAGACACGGCCCAAACUCCUACGGGAGGCAGCAGUAGGGAAUCUUCGGCAAUGGACGAAAGUCUGACCGAGCAACGCCGCGUGAGUGAAGAAGGUUUUCGGAUCGUAAAACUCUGUUGUUAGAGAAGAACAAGGAUGAGAGUAACUGUUCAUCCCUUGACGGUAUCUAACCAGAAAGCCACGGCUAACUACGUGCCAGCAGCCGCGGUAAUACGUAGGUGGCAAGCGUUGUCCGGAUUUAUUGGGCGUAAAGCGAGCGCAGGCGGUUUCUUAAGUCUGAUGUGAAAGCCCCCGGCUCAACCGGGGAGGGUCAUUGGAAACUGGGAGACUUGAGUGCAGAAGAGGAGAGUGGAAUUCCAUGUGUAGCGGUGAAAUGCGUAGAUAUAUGGAGGAACACCAGUGGCGAAGGCGGCUCUCUGGUCUGUAACUGACGCUGAGGCUCGAAAGCGUGGGGAGCAAACAGGAUUAGAUACCCUGGUAGUCCACGCCGUAAACGAUGAGUGCUAAGUGUUGGAGGGUUUCCGCCCUUCAGUGCUGCAGCUAACGCAUUAAGCACUCCGCCUGGGGAGUACGACCGCAAGGUUGAAACUCAAAGGAAUUGACGGGGGCCUGCACAAGCGGUGGAGCAUGUGGUUUAAUUCGAAGCAACGCGAAGAACCUUACCAGGUCUUGACAUCCUUUGACCACUCUAGAGAUAGAGCUUCCCCUUCGGGGGCAAAGUGACAGGUGGUGCAUGGUUGUCGUCAGCUCGUGUCGUGAGAUGUUGGGUUAAGUCCCGCAACGAGCGCAACCCUUAUUGUUAGUUGCCAUCAUUCAGUUGGGCACUCUAGCAAGACUGCCGGUGACAAACCGGAGGAAGGUGGGGAUGACGUCAAAUCAUCAUGCCCCUUAUGACCUGGGCUACACACGUGCUACAAUGGGAAGUACAACGAGUCGCGAAGUCGCGAGGCUAAGCUAAUCUCUUAAAGCUUCUCUCAGUUCGGAUUGCAGGCUGCAACUCGCCUGCAUGAAGCCGGAAUCGCUAGUAAUCGCGGAUCAGCACGCCGCGGUGAAUACGUUCCCGGGCCUUGUACACACCGCCCGUCACACCACGAGAGUUUGUAACACCCGAAGUCGGUGAGGUAACCUUUUGGAGCCAGCCGCCUAAGGUGGGAUAGAUGAUUGGGGUGAAGUCGUAACAAGGUAGCCGUAUCGGAAGGUGCGGCUGGAUCACCU
This 1548-nucleotide ribosomal RNA is filed under the name Enterococcus faecium EnGen0178. RNAcentral's name for it is "bacterial SSU rRNA". It matches the Rfam family "Bacterial small subunit ribosomal RNA". Lineage: Bacteria; Bacillati; Bacillota; Bacilli; Lactobacillales; Enterococcaceae. The record is from RNAcentral.